This is a long non-coding RNA of Daphnia carinata, 398 nucleotides long. RefSeq lists it as uncharacterized. The transcript has 4 exons. The record is from RefSeq and is a predicted model, not a curated record. NCBI's taxonomy places the organism in Eukaryota, Metazoa, Arthropoda, Branchiopoda, Diplostraca, Daphniidae.
UAUCGAGUUUGGUUGCCAUAAUGAUGGUUGCCUCGCGAAUUGGAAAUGCUUUGCCGAAUCCCAGUAUAUUGCCAAGUGUGCCAUAUUGUCAUAAUCAUUUUUCUUCUUAGGAUGGUUACCAAUGUGCAGUUGAAUUCUGAAAGGUUUUGUCUGAUGUGCUAUAUUUAAAGAACUGAUGUUCGCACCAGCUUGAUGGGAAAAAUUCAUUUCCAAUGUGGGAAACUUGGAUUUAUUUGGUGAUAGUCAGAUGGUUUUCCUGAAGUUGCAGUUUGAAAUAACCUUUCAAAGCCUAAACUCAUCUUCAUAGAAAGGGACUUAGGUGAAAAGUAAUGCUGGCUCUGUAAAUGUUCUUGGUUUGGGGCAAGACGUUGAAUAAAUUGUGAUGAUUGGAUGGACAA